Molecule: ribosomal RNA, 1786 nt
Filed under: activated sludge metagenome
Description: bacterial LSU rRNA
Rfam family: Bacterial large subunit ribosomal RNA (bases 557-1786)
Source: RNAcentral
UCUAGUGGUGGUGAAGCGGACAACCAAAGCCCUGGUCAAUGGCGGCUGUAACUAUAACGGUGGUAGAUAUAUAUCUACUUGCUACAAGAUAUAGGGCCGUUGUAAAAUCUAGCCAUAUGCAGGAACAUCCCAAGAGACACAAAUACCAAAUUGGUAAAAAGUUUGUUGUCUGGGACGACCAGCAGGAAAGGCUUGUAAGAAGUAUCUUUAACCCUUCAGAAGAUUUAUGUUGGUUUUUAUCUGGAUUUGUUGAUGGAGAGGGAAGUUUUUGCUUAAAUGUCAAAAGCACUUCUAAAUCAAAAUUUAAGUUCAGAAUAGAUCCAGCAUUUUAUCUUUAUCAGCAUGAGAGAAAUAAAUGGAUACUGUAUGUUAUGAAAGAUGUCUUAGGAGAAGGAUCAAUUCAUAGAAAGACAUCUCCGUAUUCAGUAUUUACUUAUCAAUUAGCGGGUAUUUCUCCUUGCUACAAGAGGGUUUUGCCAUUCUUUGAAAAAUACCAACUUGCCACAAAGAAAAAAGCAUUUGAUUUGUUUAGUAGAGGUGUUACAUUAAUGUAUAAUGGUGAACAUCACACUAAGAAAGGUUUUAUCAAAUUGUUGGAUAUUGCAUAUGAAAUAAAUCAAGUUGGAAAAGGAAAGAAAUGGUCAAAAGAAGAAAUUCUUACAAGAAUCCCCAGAGACUAAAUGCUAGACAGUCAAUUUUGACUGAAGAGAUAGUCCGACCUCUGCAGUAAUGUAGAGAUCAUCUUUAAAGAUGACGCCUUUAUUACUUUGGUAUUAGGUAAUAAAUGGUUAAAAAGUAACAGGAAGCCUAAGGUAGCGUAAUACCUCGUCACUUAAUUAGUGACUUGCAUGAAAGGCGUAACGACUCUUCCACUGUCUCGACAGCGCGCUCGGUGAAAUUGAAAUGGCUGUGAAGAUGCGGCCUACCCAUACCAGGACAAAAAGACCCCGUGGAGCUUUACUGCAGCUUUGCAUUGAAAUAAAGCCUCGGAUGAAUAGAAUAGGUGGGAGACUAUGAAGCCGUUUCGUCAGGAAUGGUGGAGUCGCAAUAUGUAAUACCACUCUUUUGAUGUUUUAUUUCUAACUUUUUUCUUUAUCAGAAAAACGGACAGUGCAUGGUAGGCAGUUUGACUGGGGCGGUUGCUUGCUAAAGAGUACCGCAAGCGCACAAAGGUCUCCUCAAUCCGGAUGGAAAUCGGAUGGAGAGUGCAUGAGCAUAAGGAGGCUUUACUGUGAGGAAGACAUUCCGAUCAGUUACGAAAGUAGGUUCAAGUGACCCUUUCGCAGAAUGUGGAAUCGCGAUUGUUUAACGAAGAUAAGCUACCCCGGGGAUAACAGGCUGGUGGUGCCCGAUAGUUCACAUUGACGGCACCGUUCGGCACCUCGAUGUCGGCUCGUCACAUCCUGGGGUUGGAUAAGACCCCAAGGGUUCGACUGUUCGUCGAUUAAAGUGGCACGCGAGCUGGGUUCAGACCGUCGUGAGCCAGGUCGGUCUCUAUCCGGUAUGGGCGUUGUAUAUUUGAGGAAAUUGACCCUUAGUACGAAAGGAUCAGGGUGAGGUAACCUCUAGUGCACCAGUUGUUCUACCAAGAGCAUUGCUGGGUAGCUAAGUUGCUUUAGGAUAAAUACUGAAAGCAUAUAAGUAUGAAGCCUUUUCCAAGAUUAAAUAUACUUGCAUAGCUUGACUAUGCUGAAGGUUCGUGGGAGACUACCACGUUGAUAGGCUCUAGGUGUAAGCAUAGUAAUAUGUUUAGCCAAGGAGUACUAAUAGACCAAACGCUUCAUCA